Molecule: ribosomal RNA, 253 nt
Filed under: uncultured bacterium
Lineage: Bacteria
Description: partial 16S ribosomal RNA
Rfam family: Bacterial small subunit ribosomal RNA
Source: RNAcentral
UACGGAGGGUGCAAGCGUUAUCCGGAUUUACUGGGUUUAAAGGGUGCGCAGGCGGAUAUGUAAGUCAGUGGUGAAAUCUCCGGGCUUAACCCGGAAACUGCCGUUGAUACUAUAUAUCUUGAAUGCUGUGGAGGUAAGCAGAAUAUGUCAUGUAGCGGUGAAAUGCUUAGAUAUGACAUAGAACACCAAUUGCGAAGGCAGCUGGCUACACAAAUAUUGACACUGAGGCACGAAAGCGUGGGGAUCAAACAGG